AGCGAACGCUGGCGGCAGGCUUAACACAUGCAAGUCGAGCGGGCAUCCUUGUGGUGUCAGCGGCAGACGGGUGAGUAACGCGUGGGAACGUGCCCUUCGGUUCGGAAUAACUCAGGGAAACUUGAGCUAAUACCGGAUACGUGCGAGAGCAGAAAGGUUUAUCUGCCGAAGGAUCGGCCCGCGUCUGAUUAGCUAGUUGGUGAGGUUACGGCUCACCAAGGCGACGAUCAGUAGCUGGUCUGAGAGGAUGAUCAGCCACACUGGGACUGAGACACGGCCCAGACUCCUACGGGAUGCAGCAGUGGGGAAUAUUGGAAAAUGGGGGCAACCCUGAUCCAGCCAUGCCGCGUGAGUGAUGACGGCCUUAGGGUUGUAAAGCUCUUUUCUCCGGGACGAUAAUGACGGUACCGGAGGAAUAAGCCCCGGCUAACUUCGUG
RNAcentral lists this ribosomal RNA (437 nucleotides) under uncultured bacterium. Its description in RNAcentral is "partial 16S ribosomal RNA". It matches the Rfam family "Bacterial small subunit ribosomal RNA", at positions 29 to 507 of the family's 1533-position model. The record is from RNAcentral.